UGGGCGGUCUGUCGCGAACGCGGCUCUUCGGAGCUGUGGGCGAGGAAAGUCCGGGCAGCAUAGGGCAGUCCGCUUCUUAAUGGGAAGGAGUCCGCGAGGGCUGAUUAGCGCAGAAGAAAACAACCGCCCAUGUGCGCUCCUUGCGCGCGUGUGGUAAGGGUGAGAAGGUGGGGUAAGAGCCCACCAGGCGUCUGGCGACAGGCGUGCUGUGCGCAUCGGACGCUGAAAGUUCAUGUAAACUGGCAUUUGAGGGCGGCCCGUCCGAGCCAGAGGGUAGAACGAUACAGCCGUGCGGCAACGUGCGGCGCAGAUAAAUGACAGACAGGGAAUGUGGGUUGCGUAGGUGUUCCCCUUUCCCUACAGAACCCGGCUUAUAGCCUGGCUG
This 385-nucleotide RNase P RNA is filed under the name uncultured Alloprevotella sp. Its description in RNAcentral is "Bacterial RNase P class A". It matches the Rfam family "Bacterial RNase P class A". Rfam says of the family: Ribonuclease P (RNase P) is a ubiquitous endoribonuclease, found in archaea, bacteria and eukarya as well as chloroplasts and mitochondria. Its best characterised activity is the generation of mature 5'-ends of tRNAs by cleaving the 5'-leader elements of precursor-tRNAs. The record is from RNAcentral. Lineage: Bacteria; Pseudomonadati; Bacteroidota; Bacteroidia; Bacteroidales; Prevotellaceae.